Molecule: ribosomal RNA, 468 nt
Filed under: uncultured bacterium
Lineage: Bacteria
Description: partial 16S ribosomal RNA
Rfam family: Bacterial small subunit ribosomal RNA
Source: RNAcentral
GACGAACGCUGGCGGCGUGCUUAACACAUGCAAGUCGAACGGAAAGGCCCUGCUCUUGUGGGGUGCUCGAUUGGCGAACGGGUGAGUAACACGUGAGUAAACUGCCCCUGACUUUGGGAUAACUUCAGGAAACUGGGGCUAAUAUCGGAUAGGAGCUCCUGCAGCAUGGUGGGGGAUGGAAAGUUUCGGCGGUUGUGGAUGGACUCGCGGCUUAUCAGCUUGUUGGUGGGGUAGGUGCUUACCAAGGCUAUGACGGGUAGCCGGCCUGGGAGGGUGACCGGCCACAUUGGGACUGAGGUACGGCCCAGACUCCUACGGGAGGCAGCAGUGGGGAAUAUUGCACAAUGGGCGGAAGCCUGAUGCAGCAACGCCGCGUGCGGGAUGACGGCCUUCGGGUUGUAAACCGCUUUCGCCUGUGACGAAGCGUGAGUGACGGUAAUGGGUAAAGAAGCACCGGCUAACUACGUG